AACGCACGAGACCUGCGGACCUGCGGAGGGAUCAUUAAUGAGAAACUGCCCCUCGCGGGUAGAUCUCCCACCCUUUGUAAACUUACCUUUGUUGCUUUGGCAGGCCCGUCUCCGGACCGCCGGCUUCGGCUGGCCAGUGCCUGCCAGAGGAUUCUAAAACUCUGUCUGUCAGUGUUGUCUGAGUCUAUAUACAAUCGUUAAAACUUUCAACAAAGGAUCUCUAGAUCGGAAGAGCACACG
RNAcentral lists this unclassified non-coding RNA (240 nucleotides) under soil metagenome. RNAcentral's name for it is "partial contains 5.8S ribosomal RNA, internal transcribed spacer 2, and large subunit ribosomal RNA". The record is from RNAcentral.